This 403-nucleotide ribosomal RNA is filed under the name uncultured bacterium. RNAcentral's name for it is "bacterial SSU rRNA". It matches the Rfam family "Bacterial small subunit ribosomal RNA", at positions 355 to 775 of the family's 1533-position model. The record is from RNAcentral.
UGGGGAAUCUUGCGCAAUGGGGGCAACCCUGACGCAGCGACGCCGCGUGCGGGACGAAGGCCUUCGGGUCGUAAACCGCUUUCAGCAGGGACGAGUCAAGACGGUACCUGCAGAAGAAGCCCCGGCUAACUACGUGCCAGCAGCCGCGGUAAUACGUAGGGGGCGAGCGUUAUCCGGAUUCAUUGGGCGUAAAGCGCGCGUAGGCGGCCGCGUAGGCGGGGGGUCAAAUCCCGGGGCUCAACCCCGGUCCGCCCCCCGAACCCCGCGGCUCGGGUCCGGUAGGGGAGGGUGGAAUUCCCGGUGUAGCGGUGGAAUGCGCAGAUAUCGGGAGGAACACCGGUGGCGAAGGCGGCCCUCUGGGCCGAGACCGACGCUGAGGCGCGAAAGCUGGGGGAGCGAACAG